UGGCGGCGUGCUUCAUACAUGCAAUCGAACGAGAAUCAAUUCGGUUGUGAAAGUGGCGGACGGUGAGUAAAAUGUAGAGAAUCUGCCCUAGAGAGUGGGACAACAGAGGAAACUUUCUGCUAAUACCGCAUAUGCGCGUAGCUGAGAUGCUAUUCGUGAAAACUCCGGUGCUCUGGGAUGAGUCUGCAUCUGAUUAGCUAGUUGGCGGUGUAAUGGACCACCAAGGCGACGAUCAGUAGCUGGUUUGAGAGGAUGAUCAGCCACAAUGGGACUGAGACACGGCCCAUACUCCUACGGGAGGCAGCAGUAGGGAAUUUUGCGCAAUGGGCGAAAGCCUGACGCAAGCAACGCCGCGUGACCGAUGAAGCCCUUCGGGGUUGUAAAGGUCUGUCAGUGGGGACGAAACUUGACGGUACCCACAGAGGAAGCAUCGGCUAACUCCGUGCCAGCAGCAGC
Molecule: ribosomal RNA, 456 nt
Filed under: uncultured bacterium
Lineage: Bacteria
Description: bacterial SSU rRNA
Rfam family: Bacterial small subunit ribosomal RNA
Source: RNAcentral